Molecule: long non-coding RNA, 850 nt
Organism: Orbicella faveolata
Lineage: Eukaryota; Metazoa; Cnidaria; Anthozoa; Scleractinia; Merulinidae
Source: RefSeq, a predicted model, not a curated record
GAAAAAGAACUUCAAGAAAAGAAAACAAAAGCAAGAGCACAGGCAGAGAGGAAUGAGGUUUUGCAGGCUGUGAGAGCUCAGGAGAUGAUGGAAAAACACAGAGAAGCCCAAAGAUGGAAAAACCAAGAGUUUCUGGACAAAUUAGAGAAAAGAAACAGCUACAGUCGUUAUUAAACAGUACUUGGUGCGGAGGUGAAAGGCAUCCAAGAAUGACUCCAAUUCUCUAUGAAAUCAAUCAAACUUAAAAUAAUAAUUCUCCCUACUCACUGCUAUAUAUUUCUGUGCAUAUUAGAUACAAGAAUUUGUUAGUAAAUCAAAGACAAAGAAUCUACUGUCAGUAGAUGUGUAAUUUUCUGUUAUUAUUACUGUGUGUCCAUCUGCAUUGGUACUGUGACAAAAGGAAUAACGAUAAAUGUUCUCCAUCUUCAGGAGAGUUGAAACAGCACUUAUAUCCUGUACUUUUGGCACAAAAAUCUAAAACGCACUUGGACUGCAUGUGUUAAGGAAAAUAGUCAAGUGCAACACAAAACAUAGCAAACAUAUUUUAUAAGUUAGCACAUUUUUAUUUUGCAUUUUUCACUUAAAUUACUAAAAGGCUAAUAAUAUUGUAAUUCAUACAAGCUAGGUAGUAGAAAAACAUUACUUGUUUUUAGCUUAUCACCUAUUUGUAUUAUGGUGAAGGGUGAACUUUUACAAAUAUGAUAAAAAAAAAAGAAAAAAGAAAGAAAGCCAAGCACUGUGAUAUCCUUACUACCUAACUAAGAGUAAUGUUUAGUCUCUGAGAUGAAUAAAAACAUUUACAGUAGGUCACUUGACAUGUGAAUAAAAUAAUACAGCAGCUGGGUUUUAA